AUGUGCAGGUACCAGCAGGAUGGCCGGGAUCUGGAAGAGGCGCCGUCGAGCUCGCCGCGGCUGGUGGCGGUGUGCGUCGACAGUAGCAAGAACAGCGUGAGCGCGUUCAAGUGGGCCGUCGAGGAGACGGUCGCGGGGAACAGGAGCAGCCAGCCCCAGCCCAUCGUCCUCGUCCACGUCAAGCAGCCGGCGCAGCCGCACGUCAGGGAGAUCCUCCUCCCGUUCCGCGUCUUCUGUGCGCGCAAAGGCGUCUUCUGCAUGGACGCGGUGCUGGACGACGGCCACGGCGACGUGGCCAGGUCGAUCGUCGAGUUCGUGGCGCGCGGCGUCGUCGAAAAGCUCGUCGUCGGCGCCACCGGGAGGGGCCUCUUCCGAAGAAGGUUCAUGGCGGCCGACGACAUCCCGACGGCCAUCACCAAGGGCGCGCCCGACUUCUGCGACGUAUACGUGGUCGGCGAGGCCGGCAAGGUCUCGUCCGUUCGAGCCUCCACGGACAAGUCCCCGCUUUGGCCGGAGAUACGCAGGCUCGCCGAGGCGGCUGAGAAUUUCUGGUCGGAGAUACGCGACCUCGGCGAGGCGGCCGCUAGUCCACCGGCGGGACGUGACCGGCUGGGGCGCCGAUAUGGCGGGCCAGUUUCCAUGCCCGAUAGUAUAUUGCAAGAGAAUCAGGAGCUCCGUCGUGCCAACGAGACUCUGGCACAGCGGCAAGAAGUCCACACCCGGAUGAUUUUGAUGCUUUUCGCGGAGUUGGGUAAAGAACCGCCCCGGGAGCUCCUACACAAUAUGGAAACUCCGAGCAAUAUGAAUGGACGACAAGAGCCUGUUACUUUCAACACCCUGUUUCACAAACAGUGA
RNAcentral lists this ribosomal RNA (855 nucleotides) under Triticum aestivum (bread wheat). RNAcentral describes it as "partial small subunit ribosomal RNA". Lineage: Eukaryota; Viridiplantae; Streptophyta; Magnoliopsida; Poales; Poaceae. The record is from RNAcentral.